UUCCUUAUUUUGUAUGCAACUCAAAAGUUUUUUCCAUUAAACUUUCAAGUGAGUACUUUUGCAGAUGCCAUUUUGUUUUAGACCUUUAGACGCGUUGAAGUUGCGAUUUGCACCGAUUUGGAAAUUUAAUCCGUGAGCGCAUUCCGGAAGGUCAAAUUGGCGUUAGAAUGUGGAUUUUCUCUUUAAGCGAGAUCCAGCAAGUCAGCCAUAGUCGACUCUGUUACCCCUGGCUCGCCCGGAAGAGGAUUUUCUUCAACUCGCAUGAUCUAUUUUGGAACACCUUUCCUCCUGAGGAAAACAUCAAGACAAUGUUGCCUAGUUCCGUGCCCUUCGACUGGUGGCCGAGGCAUCGGUGGAAACUGAAGGCGACUAAGCCAGUCACAUUUGGGUCAAUUCCAGCAUCCGGGAGAUGCUGAAUCAGCAGCUGCACCAGGGUAAGGACGCGGUUAAACAAUUCUUUCAAAACCAUGGCCAGGAGCUGACGAAGGCCGUUGAGACGUUCUAAGAUUUGCCGGACGGGUUUGAGUCGCCGCAGAAGGAUUGAAGCAACUGUCUUUUGUUAGCGCCAACAGUGGACAGGGAUAUUUUUCUGUUGCGAAUUCUAGCGACCCGACCGAAUGUAGGGACAGAUCUCCACAUAUUGCUGAACAACUGGGAAAAUAGCGGCCCUCGUUCCAGUCAUGAUAGCUGGAAGAAAGGAGCGAAUGUCGAUGCGAAAAUUGAAACUUGGCCCAGGCUAGCCAAUCACUUCUUGCUCUCGAAGGAUCGCAGCGGAAGGAUUCCCCUCAGAGAUGGUCCUCUUUGUGACACAGAGACACAGAGCAUUCCGCAGCAGCUCUGACUCCGAGAACCAUCCGCAGGUUGCUUGUACUAAGCCAUCAUUUAUAACACAGCAGAUAAACUUUGUCUUCCUGC
Molecule: long non-coding RNA, 915 nt
Organism: Uranotaenia lowii
Lineage: Eukaryota; Metazoa; Arthropoda; Insecta; Diptera; Culicidae
Exons: 3
Source: RefSeq, a predicted model, not a curated record